GACGAACGCUGGCGGCGUGCUUAACACAUGCAAGUCGAACGGGAUAAUUUGAGAGCUUGCUCUUAGAGAAUCUAGUGGCAAACGGGUGAGUAACACGUAGACAACCUGCCGACAGGAUGGGGACAACAUUCCGAAAGGAAUGCUAAUACCGAAUGAAGCGGAGGAGAGGCAUCUCUCCUCCGUGAAAGAUGGCCUCUGAAUAUGCUAUCACCUGUCGAUGGGUCUGCGUCUGAUUAGCUAGUUGGUGAGGUAACGGCUCACCAAGGCGACGAUCAGUAGCCGGGCUGAGAGGAUGAACGGCCACAUUGGGACUGAGACACGGCCCAGACUCCUACGGGAGGCAGCAGUGGGGAAUCUUCCGCAAUGGGCGCAAGCCUGACGGAGCAACGCCGCGUGAGUGAAGAAGGUCUUCGGAUCGUAAAGCUCUGUUGACGGGGACGAACGUGCGAAGGGUGAAUAAGCCUUUGUAAUGACGGUACCUGUCGAGGAAGCCACGGCUAACUACGUG
This 508-nucleotide ribosomal RNA is filed under the name uncultured bacterium. Its description in RNAcentral is "partial 16S ribosomal RNA". It matches the Rfam family "Bacterial small subunit ribosomal RNA", at positions 28 to 507 of the family's 1533-position model. The record is from RNAcentral.